AUACCGGAGAAUGUUAUCACGGGAGACACACGGCGGGUGCUAACGUCCGUCGUGAAGAGGGAAACAACCCAGACCGCCAGCUAAGGUCCCAAAGUCAUGGUUAAGUGGGAAACGAUGUGGGAAGGCCCAGACAGCCAGGAUGUUGGCUUAGAAGCAGCCAUCAUUUAAAGAAAGCGUAAUAGCUCACUGGUCGAGUCGGCCUGCGCGGAAGAUGUAACGGGGCUAAACCAUGCACCGAAGCUGCGGCAGCGACGCUUAUGCGUUGUUGGGUAGGGGAGCGUUCUGUAAGCCUGUGAAGGUGUGCUGUGAGGUAUGCUGGAGGUAUCAGAAGUGCGAAUGCUGACAUAAGUAACGAUAAAGCGGGUGAAAAGCCCGCUCGCCGGAAGACCAAGGGUUCCUGUCCAACGUUAAUCGGGGCAGGGUGAGUCGACCCCUAAGGCGAGGCCGAAAGGCGUAGUCGAUGGGAAACAGGUUAAUAUUCCUGUACUUGGUGUUACUGCGAAGGGGGGACGGAGAAGGCUAUGUUGGCCGGGCGACGGUUGUCCCGGUUUAAGCGUGUAGGCUGGUUUUCCAGGCAAAUCCGGAAAAUCAAGGCCGAGGCGUGAUGACGAGGCACUACGGUGCUGAAGCAACAAAUGCCCUGCUUCCAGGAAAAGCCUCUAAGCAUCAGGUAACAUCAAAUCGUACCCCAAACCGACACAGGUGGUCAGGUAGAGAAUACCAAGGCGCUUGAGAGAACUCGGGUGAAGGAACUAGGCAAAAUGGUGCCGUAACUUCGGGAGAAGGCACGCUGAUACGUAGGUGAAGCGACUUGCUCGUGGAGCUGAAAUCAGUCGAAGAUACCAGCUGGCUGCAACUGUUUAUUAAAAACACAGCACUGUGCAAACACGAAAGUGGACGUAUACGGUGUGACGCCUGCCCGGUGCCGGAAGGUUAAUUGAUGGGGUUAGCGCAAGCGAAGCUCUUGAUCGAAGCCCCGGUAAACGGCGGCCGUAACUAUAACGGUCCUAAGGUAGCGAAAUUCCUUGUCGGGUAAGUUCCGACCUGCACGAAUGGCGUAAUGAUGGCCAGGCUGUCUCCACCCGAGACUCAGUGAAAUUGAACUCGCUGUGAAGAUGCAGUGUACCCGCGGCAAGACGGAAAGACCCCGUGAACCUUUACUAUAGCUUGACACUGAACAUUGAGCCUUGAUGUGUAGGAUAGGUGGGAGGCUUUGAAGUGUGGACGCCAGUCUGCAUGGAGCCGACCUUGAAAUACCACCCUUUAAUGUUUGAUGUUCUAACGUGGACCCGUGAUCCGGGUUGCGGACAGUGUCUGGUGGGUAGUUUGACUGGGGCGGUCUCCUCCUAAAGAGUAACGGAGGAGCACGAAGGUUGGCUAAUCCUGGUCGGACAUCAGGAGGUUAGUGCAAUGGCAUAAGCCAGCUUGACUGCGAGCGUGACGGCGCGAGCAGGUGCGAAAGCAGGUCAUAGUGAUCCGGUGGUUCUGAAUGGAAGGGCCAUCGCUCAACGGAUAAAAGGUACUCCGGGGAUAACAGGCUGAUACCGCCCAAGAGUUCAUAUCGACGGCGGUGUUUGGCACCUCGAUGUCGGCUCAUCACAUCCUGGGGCUGAAGUAGGUCCCAAGGGUAUGGCUGUUCGCCAUUUAAAGUGGUACGCGAGCUGGGUUUAGAACGUCGUGAGACAGUUCGGUCCCUAUCUGCCGUGGGCGCUGGAGAACUGAGGGGGGCUGCUCCUAGUACGAGAGGACCGGAGUGGACGCAUCACUGGUGUUCGGGUUGUCAUGCCAAUGGCACUGCCCGGUAGCUAAAUGCGGAAGAGAUAAGUGCUGAAAGCAUCUAAGCACGAAACUUGCCCCGAGAUGAGUUCUCCCUGACCCUUUAAGGGUCCUGAAGGAACGUUGAAGACGACGACGUUGAUAGGCCGGGUGUGUAAGCGCAGCGAUGCGUUGAGCUAACCGGUACUAAUGAACCGUGAGGCUUAACCUUACAACGCCGAAG
This 1999-nucleotide ribosomal RNA is filed under the name Escherichia coli. RNAcentral's name for it is "partial 23S ribosomal RNA". It matches the Rfam family "Bacterial large subunit ribosomal RNA", at positions 960 to 2925 of the family's 2925-position model. The record is from RNAcentral. Lineage: Bacteria; Pseudomonadati; Pseudomonadota; Gammaproteobacteria; Enterobacterales; Enterobacteriaceae.